AUACGGGGGGUGCAAGCGUUAUUCGGAAUCGCUGGGCGUAAAGGACGCGUAGGCGGGUUGGCAAGUCAGAUGUGAAAUCCUACAGCUUAACUGUAGAACUGCAUUUGAAACUGCUAACCUAGAGUAUGGGAGGGGGAGAUGGAAUUAGUGGUGUAGGGGUAAAAUCCGUAGAUAUCACUAGGAAUACCGAAAGCGAAGGCGAUCUCCUGGAACAUAACUGACGCUAAGGCGUGAAAGCGUGGGGAGCAAACAGGAUUAGAUACCCUAGUAGUCCC
RNAcentral lists this ribosomal RNA (275 nucleotides) under uncultured bacterium. RNAcentral describes it as "partial 16S ribosomal RNA". It matches the Rfam family "Bacterial small subunit ribosomal RNA", at positions 523 to 797 of the family's 1533-position model. The record is from RNAcentral.